RNAcentral lists this ribosomal RNA (445 nucleotides) under uncultured bacterium. Its description in RNAcentral is "bacterial SSU rRNA". It matches the Rfam family "Bacterial small subunit ribosomal RNA", at positions 330 to 792 of the family's 1533-position model. The record is from RNAcentral.
CCCAGACUCCUACGGGAGGCAGCAGUCGGGAAUAUUGCGCAAUGGAGGAAACUCUGACGCAGUGACGCCGCGUGCAGGAAGAAGGUUUUCGGAUUGUAAACUGCUUUAGACAGGGAAGAAACAAGACAGUACCCGGAGAAAAAGCAUCGGCUAACUCCGUGCCAGCAGCCGCGGUAAUACGGAGGAUGCGAGCGUUAUCCGGAUUUAUUGGGUUUAAAGGGUGCGCAGGCGGCGAGUUAAGUCAGCGGUAAAAUUCCGGGGCUCACCCCCGACAAGCCGUUGAAACUGGCUUGCUAGAGUGGGCGAGAAGUAUGCGGAAUGCGUGGUGUAGCGGUGAAAUGCAUAGAUAUCACGCAGAACUCCGAUUGCGAAGGCAGCAUACCGGCGCCCAACUGACGCUCAGGCACGAAAGCGUGGGUAUCGAACAGGAUUAGAUACCCCUGUA